CCCGCUCAGAACUUAAAGGAAUGACGGGGCCCGCACAAGCGGUGGAGCAUGUGGUUAAUUCGAAGCAACGCGAAGAACCUUACCAGGCCUUGACAUGCAGAGAACUUCCAGAGAUGGAUUGGUGCCUUCGGGAACUCUGACACAGGUGCUGCAUGGCUGUCGUCAGCUCGUGCGUGAGAUGUUGGGUUAAGUCCCGUAACGAGCGCAACCCUUGUCCUUAGUUACCAGCACGUUAUGGUGGGCACUCUAAGGAGACUGCCGGUGACAAACCGGAGGAAGGUGGGGAUGACGUCAAGUCAUCAUGGCCCUUACGGCCUGGGCUACACACGUGCUACAAUGGUCGGUACAAAGGGUUGCCAAGCCGCGAGGUGGAGCUAAUCCCAUAAAACCGAUCGUAGUCCGGAUCGCAGUCUGCAACUCGACUGCGUGAAGUCGGAAUCGCUAGUAAUCGUGAAUCAGAAUGUCACGGUGAAUACGUUCCCGGGCCUU
RNAcentral lists this ribosomal RNA (489 nucleotides) under uncultured Pseudomonas sp. RNAcentral's name for it is "bacterial SSU rRNA". It matches the Rfam family "Bacterial small subunit ribosomal RNA", at positions 889 to 1382 of the family's 1533-position model. The record is from RNAcentral. Lineage: Bacteria; Pseudomonadati; Pseudomonadota; Gammaproteobacteria; Pseudomonadales; Pseudomonadaceae.